This 197-nucleotide ribosomal RNA is filed under the name uncultured bacterium. Its description in RNAcentral is "partial 16S ribosomal RNA". It matches the Rfam family "Bacterial small subunit ribosomal RNA", at positions 335 to 524 of the family's 1533-position model. The record is from RNAcentral.
ACUCCUACGGGAGGCAGCAGUGGGGAAUUUUGGACAAUGGGCGCAAGCCUGAUCCAGCAAUGCCGCGUGAGUGAAGAAGGCCUUCGGGUUGUAAAGCUCUUUUAGUUGAAAAGAAAAAAUCGUGACUAAUAAUCGCGAUUCAUGACGGUAUCAACAGAAAAAGCACCGGCUAACUACGUGCCAGCAGCCGCGGUAAU